This 2865-nucleotide ribosomal RNA is filed under the name Prochlorococcus sp. AG-670-O07. RNAcentral's name for it is "bacterial LSU rRNA". It matches the Rfam family "Bacterial large subunit ribosomal RNA". The record is from RNAcentral. Lineage: Bacteria; Bacillati; Cyanobacteriota; Cyanophyceae; Synechococcales; Prochlorococcaceae.
CAAAGGGCUCACGGAGGAUACCUAGGCACACAGAGGCGAUGAAGGACGUGGUUACCUGCGAUAAGUCUCGGGGAGUUGGAAGCACACUUUGAUCCGGGAAUUUCCGAAUGGGGCAACCCCUUGAACGACCAACUGAAUAUAUAGGUUGGUGCGAGCUAACCCAGCGAACUGAAACAUCUUAGUAGCUGGAGGAAGAGAAAGUAAAUAACGACUCCCUCAGUAGCGGCGAGCGAACGGGGAAUAGCCCAAACCGAUAGUCUUGACUAUCGGGGUUGUGGGACAGCAAUAUGGAUCAACAAUUCUAGAAGAAACGUUUGAAUGGCGUGCCAUAGAGGGUGAAAGCCCCGUAAUUGAAAGAUGAGUUGACCUAGCUGUAUCCCGAGUAGCACGGAGCACGUGGAAUUCCGUGUGAAUCUGCGAGGACCACCUCGUAAGGCUAAGUACUACUGUGUGACCGAUAGUGAAACAGUACCGCGAGGGAAAGGUGAAAAGAACCCCGGGAGGGGAGUGAAAUAGAACAUGAAACCGUGAGCUUACAAGCAAUGGGAGCCCGACUAAUCGGGUGACCGUGUGCCUGUUGAAGAAUGAGCCGGCGACUUAUAGGCACUGGCGGGUUAAACCGGAAAUGGUGGAGCCACAGCGAAAGCGAGUCUUAAUAGGGCGUUUGUCAGUGUUUAUAGACCCGAACCCUGGUGAUCUAACCAUGGCCAGGAUGAAGCUUGGGUGAUACCAAGUGGAGGUCCGAACCGACUGAAGUUGAAAAUUCAGCGGAUGAGCUGUGGUUAGGGGUGAAAUGCCAAUCGAACCAGGAGCUAGCUGGUUCUCCCCGAAAUACGUUGAGGCGUAGCGUCUAGUGCUCCAGCAGGGGGGUAAAGCAACCAUUUCGGUGCGGGCUGCGAAAGCGGUACCAAAUCGAUAUGAACUCUGAAUACCCUGUGUGUAACUAGGCAGUCAGACUGUGGGGGAUAAGCUCCAUAGUCAAGAGGGAAACAGCCCAGACCGCCAGCUAAGGUCCCAAAAUUAACGCUAAGUGAUAAAGGAGGUGGGAUUGCCCAGACAACCAGGAGGUUUGCCUAGAAGCAGCCAUCCUCAAAGGAGUGCGUAAUAGCUCACUGGUCGAGCGAUCCUGCGCCGAAAAUGAAUGGGGCUAAGCGUUAUACCGAAGCUGCGGAUAAAUUUAUUUAUGGUAGGGGAGCGUUCUAUGUUGGGUGAAGCGUUAGCGUAAGCGGACGUGGACGGCAUAGAAGUGAGAAUGUCGGCUUGAGUAGCGAAAACAUGGGUGAGAAUCCCAUGCCCCGAAACCCUAAGGGUUCCUCCGGCAGGCUCGUCCGCGGAGGGUUAGUCUGGACCUAAGGCGAGGCCGAAAGGCGUAGUCGAUGGAUAACAGGUCAAUAUUCCUGUACCAGUUAUGUUUUGGGAAGGGGGACGGAGAAGGCUAGCCAGGCCAGAUGUUGGUUACUGGUUCAAGCGUUCAAGGCUUUGAGAGAUGGAGAAAACAUCUUGAGCUGAGGCGUGAGUACGAGCUGCUACGGCAGCGAAGUUGGUGAUGUCAUGCUUCCAAGAAAAGCCCUAUACCCGUUAAGACAUAAAUGCCAGUACCCGAAACCGACACAGGUGGGGUGGUAGAGAAUACCGAGGGGCGCGAGAUAACUCUCUCUAAGGAACUCGGCAAAAUGGCCCCGUAACUUCGGGAGAAGGGGUGCCAGCGAGAGCUGGUCGCAGUGAAGAGGCGCAAGCGACUGUUUACCAAAAACACAGGUCUCCGCUAAGUCGCAAGACGAUGUAUGGGGGCUGACACCUGCCCAGUGCCGGAAGGUUAAGGAAGCUGGUUAGCUUUUAGCAAAGCUAGCGACUGAAGCCCCGGUGAACGGCGGCCGUAACUAUAACGGUCCUAAGGUAGCGAAAUUCCUUGUCGGGUAAGUUCCGACCCGCACGAAAGGUGUAACGAUUUGCGCGCUGUCUCGGAGAGAGGCUCGGCGAAAUAGAAUUGUCUGUGAAGAUGCGGACUACAUACACCCGGACAGAAAGACCCUAUGAAGCUUUACUGUAGUUUGAUAUUGUGCUCGGGCUCUAAUUGCGCAGAAUAGGUGGGAGACAUUGAAAUAGUGCUUGUGGGCAUUAUUGAGUCAUCGGUGAGAUACCACUCUAUUAGAGCUAGGGUUCUAACGCUUACCCGUUAUCCGGGAAGCGGACAGUAUCUGAUGGGCAGUUUGACUGGGGCGGUCGCCUCCUAAAAGGUAACGGAGGCGCACAAAGGUUCCCUCAGGCUGGUUGGAAAUCAGUCGUUGAGUGCAAAAGCAGAAGGGAGCUUGACUGUGAGACCUACAAGUCGAACAGGGACGAAAGUCGGUUUUAGUGAUCCGACGGUUCUGCGUGGAAGGGCCGUCGCUCAACGGAUAAAAGUUACUCUAGGGAUAACAGGCUGAUCUCCCCCAAGAGUUCACAUCGACGGGGAGGUUUGGCACCUCGAUGUCGGCUCAUCGCAACCUGGGGCUGAAGUCGGUCCCAAGGGUUGGGCUGUUCGCCCAUUAAAGCGGUACGCGAGCUGGGUUCAGAACGUCGUGAGACAGUUCGGUCCAUAUCCGGUGUAUGCGCAGGAAUAUUGAGAGGAUUUCUCCCUAGUACGAGAGGACCGGGAGGAACGCACCUCUGGUGUGCCAGUUAUCGUGCCAACGGUAAACGCUGGGUAGCCAUGUGCGGAGUGGAUAACCGCUGAAAGCAUCUAAGUGGGAAGCCCACCUCAAGAUGAGUAUUGCCAUGGCUUAAGCCAGUAAGGUCACGGGAAGAACACCCGUUGAUAGGCUCUACGUGGAAGCUUGGUAACAAGUGCAGCGGAGGAGUACUAAUAGACCGAGGGCUUGACCA